Molecule: long non-coding RNA, 1059 nt
Filed under: Cricetulus griseus (Chinese hamster)
Lineage: Eukaryota; Metazoa; Chordata; Mammalia; Rodentia; Cricetidae
Description: lncRNA (ENSCGRG00015037863.1)
Source: RNAcentral
AAUAAAAUGUGUGUUGCAACAUGAGCCACUUAAGCAAUAACUCAUAAAACUGCUGGUUGUAUUCUAGCAUGGAAGGAAAAAGGGCUCAUUAGUCUUUUCCCAACUUAAGGAUCCAUGGACAGAUUCCAAAACAUUAAUCCUUGGGAAGGGCCAGCAAAUGUUAGAUUGGUACUUACAUUUGUGCUACUGUCUCCCAGAUGAAGACUUCACAUAUUCUCAUUACUUUAAAAGGAUUUCCUUAUACCUCCCAAGCUAGCUAAUAGCACGUCCAUCACUCAAGGUGCCAUGGAAUGCUCCAAAGUGCCUUUACCUACAGGCUUUUCCUGUUGGAACAACACUGGCUGACAGACAAGAAGAAGAACGUGUGGCAAUACUCCCAAGUUACAGUGAGAAGUUGAAGCACACUGUGAGUUUUAAGGUUUACAAACAGACUGUAAUGAACAGUCACGGCCACGCUUAUUGAAGCAUUAAUUGAAAAGCUUUUCUUCAGACUAUAUCAAGGGCCCUGUACUCCUAACAUCUGCAUAUUUUUAGCCCUAUGAGAUAUCCUCAGAGUGCUCUCACCAGAAGAUAGCAAUUACUGCUCCCAAUAGAGCCUUCAUCCAGUAGCUGAGGGAAGCAGAAGCAGACACCCACAGCUAAACACUGAGCUGAACUCUGGAAUCCAGUUGCAGAGGAGGAAUGAUGAGCAAAGGUCAAGACCAGGCUGAAGAAACCCACAGAAACAACUGACCUGAACAAGGGGUUGCUCAUGGACCCCCAGACUGAUAGCCGAGAAUCUAACAUAGGACUAUUCCAGACCCCCUGAAGGAGGAAGUCAGUUUGGAGGUCUGGACAAUCUAUGGGGCCUCUGGUAUUAGAUCAGUAUUUACCCUUAGUACACAAAUGAACUUUGGGAGCCCUCUCCACAUAAAGGGAUAUUCUCUCAGCCUAGACACACUGGAGAGGGACUAGACCCUGCUCAAAAUGUUAUGACAGACUUUGAAGAUCCCCAUGGAAAGCCUCACCCUUCCUGGGGAGCAGAAAGUACUAGGGAUGGGGUGGGGUCCAUGUGGGGAA